This 1372-nucleotide ribosomal RNA is filed under the name uncultured bacterium. RNAcentral describes it as "bacterial SSU rRNA". It matches the Rfam family "Bacterial small subunit ribosomal RNA", at positions 28 to 1381 of the family's 1533-position model. The record is from RNAcentral.
GAUGAACGCUGGCGGCGUGCCUAAUACAUGCAAGUCGAGCGAACGGACGAGAAGCUUGCUUCUCUGAUGUUAGCGGCGGACGGGUGAGUAACACGUGGAUAACCUACCUAUAAGACUGGGAUAACUUCGGGAAACCGGAGCUAAUACCGGAUAAUAUUUUGAACCGCAUGGUUCAAAAGUGAAAGACGGUCUUGCUGUCACUUAUAGAUGGAUCCGCGCUGCAUUAGCUAGUUGGUAAGGUAACGGCUUACCAAGGCAACGAUGCAUAGCCGACCUGAGAGGGUGAUCGGCCACACUGGAACUGAGACACGGUCCAGACUCCUACGGGAGGCAGCAGUAGGGAAUCUUCCGCAAUGGGCGAAGGCCUGACGGAGCAACGCCGCGUGAGUGAUGAAGGUCUUCGGAUCGUAAAACUCUGUUAUUAGGGAAGAACAUAUGUGUAAGUAACUGUGCACAUCUUGACGGUACCUAAUCAGAAAGCCACGGCUAACUACGUGCCAGCAGCCGCGGUAAUACGUAGGUGGCAAGCGUUAUCCGGAAUUAUUGGGCGUAAAGCGCGCGUAGGCGGUUUUUUAAGUCUGAUGUGAAAGCCCACGGCUCAACCGUGGAGGGUCAUUGGAAACUGGAAAACUUGAGUGCAGAAGAGGAAAGUGGAAUUCCAUGUGUAGCGGUGAAAUGCGCAGAGAUAUGGAGGAACACCAGUGGCGAAGGCGACUUUCUGGUCUGUAACUGACGCUGAUGUGCGAAAGCGUGGGGAUCAAACAGGAUUAGAUACCCUGGUAGUCCACGCCGUAAACGAUGAGUGCUAAGUGUUAGGGGGUUUCCGCCCCUUAGUGCUGCAGCUAACGCAUUAAGCACUCCGCCUGGGGAGUACGACCGCAAGGUUGAAACUCAAAGGAAUUGACGGGGACCCGCACAAGCGGUGGAGCAUGUGGUUUAAUUCGAAGCAACGCGAAGAACCUUACCAAAUCUUGACAUCCUUUGACAACUCUAGAGAUAGAGCCUUCCCCUUCGGGGGACAAAGUGACAGGUGGUGCAUGGUUGUCGUCAGCUCGUGUCGUGAGAUGUUGGGUUAAGUCCCGCAACGAGCGCAACCCUUAAGCUUAGUUGCCAUCAUUAAGUUGGGCACUCUAAGUUGACUGCCGGUGACAAACCGGAGGAAGGUGGGGAUGACGUCAAAUCAUCAUGCCCCUUAUGAUUUGGGCUACACACGUGCUACAAUGGACAAUACAAAGGGCAGCGAAACCGCGAGGUCAAGCAAAUCCCAUAAAGUUGUUCUCAGUUCGGAUUGUAGUCUGCAACUCGACUACAUGAAGCUGGAAUCGCUAGUAAUCGUAGAUCAGCAUGCUACGGUGAAUACGUUCCCGGGUCU